Molecule: transfer RNA, 73 nt
Filed under: Alligator mississippiensis (American alligator)
Lineage: Eukaryota; Metazoa; Chordata; Crocodylia; Alligatoridae
Rfam family: tRNA
About the family: Transfer RNA (tRNA) molecules are approximately 80 nucleotides in length. Their secondary structure includes four short double-helical elements and three loops (D, anti-codon, and T loops).
Source: Rfam by way of RNAcentral
GCCUGGCUAGCUCAGUUGGUAGAGUAUGAGACUCUUACUUUUAGGGUCCUAGGUUCAAGCCCCAUGUUGGGUG